GACGAACGCUGGCGGCGUGCUUAACACAUGCAAGUCGAGCGGUAAGGCCCUUUCGGGGGUACACGAGCGGCGAACGGGUGAGUAACACGUGGGUGACCUGCCCUCAGCUCUGGGAUAAGCCCGGGAAACUGGGUCUAAUACCGGAUAUGACUUCAUGACGCGUGUUGUGGAGUGGAAAGCCUUGUGCGGCUGAGGAUGGGCCCGCGGCCUAUCAGCUUGUUGGUGGGGUGAUGGCCUACCAAGGCGACGACGGGUAGCCGGCCUGAGAGGGCGACCGGCCACACUGGGACUGAGAUACGGCCCAGACUCCUACGGGAGGCAGCAGUGGGGAAUCUUGCGCAAUGGGCGAAAGCCUGACGCAGCGACGCCGCGUGAGGGAUGACGGCCUC
Molecule: ribosomal RNA, 389 nt
Filed under: uncultured bacterium
Lineage: Bacteria
Description: bacterial SSU rRNA
Rfam family: Bacterial small subunit ribosomal RNA
Source: RNAcentral